Molecule: ribosomal RNA, 652 nt
Filed under: uncultured Methanosaeta sp.
Lineage: Archaea; Methanobacteriati; Methanobacteriota; Methanomicrobia; Methanotrichales; Methanotrichaceae
Description: bacterial SSU rRNA
Rfam family: Archaeal small subunit ribosomal RNA
Source: RNAcentral
UUCUGGUUGAUCCUGGCGGAGGUUACUGCUAUCGAGGUUCGACUAAGCCAUGCGAGUCGAAUGUAGCAAUACAUGGCGUACUGCUCAGUAACACGUGGACAACCUACCCUUAGGUCGGGGAUAAACCCGGGAAACUGGGUAUAAUACCCGAUAGUCCUCGGAUGCUGGAAUGCACCGAGGUCUAAAGCUCCGGCGCCUAAGGAUGGGUCCGCGGCCUAUCAGGUAGUAGUGGGUGUAGCGUACCUACUAGCCUACGACGGGUACGGGUUGUGAGAGCAAGAGCCUGGAGAUGGAUUCUGAGACACGAAUCCAGGCCCUACGGGGUGCAGUAGGCGCGAAAACUUUACAAUGCCGGCAACGGCGAUAAGGGGACCUCGAGUGCCAGGUUACGAAUCUGGCUGUCGUGACGCCUAAAAAGCAUUGCAUAGCAAGGGCCGGGCAAGACCGGUGCCAGCCGCCGCGGUAACACCGGCGGCUCGAGUGGUAACCGUUAUUAUUGGGUCUAAAGGGUCUGUAGCCGGCCGGAUAAGUCUCUUGGGAAAUCCAGCAGCUCAACUGUUGGGCUUCCAGGAGAUACUGUCUGGCUCGAGGCCGGGAGAGGUGAGAGGUACUUCAGGGGUAGGGGGAAAUCUUGUAAUUCGAAGGACCACCA